AUGAACCCCUCCUUGGCUCCGGGUCCAGAUGGUUUGUCGGUCUCAUUCUUCAAAACUUUCUGGCAAACUAUCAAACCAGAGGUCAUGGCCCUCUUCGACGAAUUCUUCACUGGGACCAUGGACCUUGGGAGGCUGAACUAUGGGAUCAUUACCCUCAUCCCUAAGGUUCCGGGCGCCUCCGACAUUCGCCAAUUCCGCCCGAUCAUGGUGAUCAACGUGAUCUUCAGGAUAUUGGCUAAAGGGUGCGCCAAUAGGGUGACCCUUCUUGCAGACUCUGUCACCCACCCCAACCAAUCCGCCUUCAUCCAAGGCCGGUUUAUUUUGGAUGGGGUGCUGGUCUUUCACGAGGUCCUUCAUGAAGUCCGCUCUAAACACCACCGCGCAGUCUUCCUGAAGCUAGAAUUCCACAAAGCCAACGACACUGUCCACUGGCCCUUCCUUCGGGAAGUGCUGCUUCGUAAGGGAUUCGACGACCAUUGGGUGACCCGCGUUAUGUAG
Molecule: ribosomal RNA, 498 nt
Filed under: Triticum aestivum (bread wheat)
Lineage: Eukaryota; Viridiplantae; Streptophyta; Magnoliopsida; Poales; Poaceae
Description: partial small subunit ribosomal RNA
Source: RNAcentral